CAAUGGUCGGUACAGAGGGUUGCCAACCCGCGAGGGGGAGCUAAUCCCACAAAGCCGAUCGUAGUCCGGAUCGCAGUCUGCAACUCGACUGCGUGAAGUCGGAAUCGCUAGUAAUCGUGGAUCAGCAUGUCACGGUGAAUACGUUCCCGGGUCUU
RNAcentral lists this ribosomal RNA (155 nucleotides) under uncultured Rhodocyclaceae bacterium. RNAcentral's name for it is "partial 16S ribosomal RNA". It matches the Rfam family "Bacterial small subunit ribosomal RNA", at positions 1228 to 1382 of the family's 1533-position model. The record is from RNAcentral. Lineage: Bacteria; Pseudomonadati; Pseudomonadota; Betaproteobacteria; Rhodocyclales; Rhodocyclaceae.